UAACCAGUUCAUCCCAGACUCCUUCCUUCCCUCCUGUUCAUUUAUCUUGUCGUUGUCUUUUCCUCACAGAUGAAAGAGAAGACGUUCAAAAGAAGACUUUCUCAAAAUGGAUAAACUCACAGUUUUCUAAGGCAGGGAAGCCCCCCAUCCAGGACCUCUUCACCGACCUGUGUGAUGGCCGUCGCCUGCUGGAGCUGCUGGAGGGACUGGCAGGUCACGAGCUGGUGAAGGAGAGAGGAUUCACACGCGUCCACUCACUAAACAAUGUCAAUAGAGCGCUGCAGAUCCUACAGAAGAACAAUGUUGAACUGGUGAAUAUAGGAGGAGCCGACAUUGUUGAUGGGAAUCAUAAACUGAUUCUUGGACUCAUUUGGAGCAUAAUUCUCCACUGGCAGGUCAGUUCGUCACCCUGUGUGUU
Long non-coding RNA from Oncorhynchus tshawytscha (Chinook salmon), 418 nucleotides. RefSeq lists it as uncharacterized. The transcript has 4 exons. NCBI's taxonomy places the organism in Eukaryota, Metazoa, Chordata, Actinopteri, Salmoniformes, Salmonidae. The record is from RefSeq and is a predicted model, not a curated record.